This is a non-coding RNA of Chelonoidis abingdonii (Abingdon island giant tortoise), 113 nucleotides long. The record is from RefSeq and is a predicted model, not a curated record. NCBI's taxonomy places the organism in Eukaryota, Metazoa, Chordata, Testudines, Testudinidae.
GGUCUUCCAAAUCCAUUUUGAGAUUUCAAUAACCUCAUAUGGGAUUAGGGGUGUUUAUAAUGUGUCAUGGUUAGGGUUUUGUGGCCUCCUUGUGCAGGAGGUCAGGCUAGAUG